GCUAGCUUCCACGGCUAACCGCCGCUAGCAUCGCGGGGACCUACCUUGAGCUCCCGUCUGCUCUUUUGGCGGUCACUUAAGUGGCCUCGCUGUCAUGGCGGACGCCGGCGGGGUUCUCCUGAGUACGGCCGCCGCCGCCACCGCCGCCGCCGCCGGAGCUGGCCGCGUCGCAGGGUAACAGCCCAGCUGACACGGGGUGACAGCGCCAGGAGCGAGCGGCUGAACGCAUGAAGCAGAAGGAAAAAGGAGCGGCUAGUUUAGUCGGAGAAUGUCCGGCCAAGCUGGAGCCGACUGGGCUUCUGCAGCAGGACCAUGAUCCACAACACAGCAGCAAGUCCACCUCUGGAUGACUGAGGAAAAACCGAAUGAAGACUUUGGAGCGGCCUAGUCCAAGUCCUGACCGGACCCUAUGGAGACGGCCUCCUACGUGGCUGAAUGACAACAUUUCCUCCACAGCGCUGGAAGAGACCACGUGACCAGGUGACCACGAACGCUGCAUUUGUCAUAAAUGAAAUGUAUUAUUAUUAUUAUUAUUAUUUUUAGGUCGUUGCCGCUGAGGGUGGCCCAAGCAGCUAUUGGCUUUAGGGGUCAUCUCUUUGUCUGUUCCCUUAAUAAUACGUUUCAUUGGAAAAACGGCAUUUUGUGUUCAGUUGUGUUGCCAUCGACUAAUAUUUCAAUGUUUGCUGAUCCCAAACAUUUACGUGUGACAAACAUGCCAAAACUUCCACGCUAGUGUGGAUUUCAUGCAAUUGUCUAAACGGAAUCUCCAAGCUGAUGACGCUCUCAUUUACGAGCGCAGGUACCGCCAUCUAGCGGCGUGUGCAUGUAAGUGCUCUCCAUGUGUUCUUUUGAUGAACUUCCGCAAUAAAUGGGGCUUCUUGUC
Molecule: long non-coding RNA, 883 nt
Organism: Doryrhamphus excisus (bluestripe pipefish)
Lineage: Eukaryota; Metazoa; Chordata; Actinopteri; Syngnathiformes; Syngnathidae
Source: RefSeq, a predicted model, not a curated record